CGGGGCGUACACAGGGAUCGGCGCUUUGCUGUAAUCCUUCGUGUUCCGCGUCACGAUGCAGUCCGCGCCGGAGCGCACCGUCGUUUCGACCAUUACGGCAUCCUCGAAAUCGGAAAUCUCUGCCGAAAUCGCCUUGCGGAUGUCCAGCGCUGUAGUGUCCAGCAGCCCGAACAACGCGCAGAGCUUUGUCAGAACGUCGCGAGUUGCUUUGUCGCUGUGGGUCUGCCGAUGCGUCAGAUAGUAAAUGUCCGUGAUGGCUUUCGCCGUCAGGAAGCCUUCAAACUGCCGGUUGGCGCAGAGCAGGAAAAUCGACUGCGCAUCCUUGCAGAACGGUUCGCGGCUUUGCAGCGCGUCCACGAUGACGCAGGUAUCAAUGACAGCUCUCAUAUCCGGUUCAGCCUUUCUUCCUUCGCUUCCUCCAACGUCACAUCAGCCGGAAGAAUCCCGAACAGGGACUUGGCAAUGUCCACUCUGUCCUGAUGGGGGUUGGAGAGUUUGGCGACAACCUUGCCGUUGCGGGUGAUGAAAAUGUCCUCCGUCGCUGCAAGCAGAAGAUACUUUCCGAGAUUGCUUUUCAGUUCCGUCGCAGUAAUCGACAUGAUCUGGUUCCUCCCUUCGUGAUUUGGUUCAUCCUUAUUAUAUCUAAACCAGACGAAAUAUGCAACAGAUUCGUGCGAAAUAUUUUGUGAACCGUCCGAUAACUUUCUGUGACCGAAACGGAGCAAAUGCCCAUCCCAAAAGCGCACAGAGCGCGCCGAAGGGACUUACCCAUACCGCAACACCACCCGUUCCCCAAACGGAGCGUACAAGGCGAAAAAAGCCCGAAAAUGAUACCGAGAUUUACAAUUUGACCGUCUGCCGGAGCGCGACGCUUUGGCGACAGAUAGGAGCGUGAAAAUGCCGAGAAUGAAAAAGCAGCGGCGGCUGGAAUGGUCGUUCUUCCUCGACCACCGAAACCGCAUUUCCUACAAUUCCCUUUGCCGUGGGUGCGUCCACGGCUGCAAGCAGAGCUUUCGUGCAGUUGUGGUGCUUUGCCCGCAUUACUGGUCGAAACGCUGGAAACCGCCCGAUUGAGGGCUGUCACGAUUCGUUAUACCCCAUUUCCCGCGAAGGAGGUGACAUUCCAUCACCGAGUACAUGAGAGCGGAUACCCGGCUGCCGCCGUAUCUGCCAUAUCCCCGUUUCCUGCUGCAAGCAGACCUGACCCAGACGGCGAAGCUGCUGUACGCGCUGCUGCUUGACCGGGCAACGCUCUCACAGACAAACGGCUGGCUGGACGAGGGCGGCAGGAUUUAUCUUGUGUUCCCCAUAGAGAAAAUUGCCGCCGCGCUGGACAGAAGCCCUAUGGAGCUUCACUGCAGCUUGAGAUUGAAUCCCGGUGACAGAUGCACAGGAUAGGUGGGAGGCGCCGAAGCAUUGCCCUAGGGCAAUGCGGAGCCGAUGUUGGGAUACCACCCUUCUGUUGCUGAGAUUCUAACGCGAGGAGUAACGACCCUGCGGACCCUCUCAGGCAGGCGGUUUGACUGGGGCGGUCGCCUCCGAAAGAGUAACGGAGGCGCCCAAAGGUUCCCUCAGGCCGGACAGAAACCGGCCGAAGAGUGCAAAGGCAGAAGGGAGCUUGACUGCGAGACCAACAAGUCGAGCAGGGACGAAAGUCGGGCUUAGUGAUCCGGUGGUACUGGGUGGAAAGGCCAUCGCUCAACGGAUAAAAGCUACCCUGGGGAUAACAGGCUAAUCUCUCCCAAGAGUUCAUAUCGACGGGGAGGUUUGGCACCUCGAUGUCGGCUCAUCACAUCCUGGGGCUGGAGUAGGUCCCAAGGGUUGGGCUGUUCGCCCAUUAAAGUGGUACGCGAGCUGGGUUCAAAACGUCGUGAGACAGUUUGGUUCAUAUCCAUCGCGGGCGCAAGAAGUUUGAGAGGAGCUGCUCCUAGUACGAGAGGACCGGAGUGGACGGAUCAACGGUGUCCCAGUUGUCACGCCAGUGGCACGGCUGGAAAGCCGCAUCCGGGAAGGAUAAACGCUGAAAGCAUCUAAGCGCGAAGCCAACCUCAAGAUGAGACUUCUCAUCAGCAAUGAGUAAGACCCCUUACAGACGAUGAGGUAGAUAGGUUAUGAGUGGAAGAGCCGCAAGGCUUGGAGCGACAUAAAACUAAUAGGUCGAGGUCUUAACU
Molecule: ribosomal RNA, 2171 nt
Filed under: human gut metagenome
Description: bacterial LSU rRNA
Rfam family: Bacterial large subunit ribosomal RNA (bases 1308-2161)
Source: RNAcentral